UUGGAGGGCAAGUCUGGUGCCAGCAGCCGCGGUAAUUCCAGCUCCAAUAGCGUAUAUUAAAGUUGUUGCAGUUAAAAAGCUCGUAGUUGAAUUUCGGGAUCAAUACGUCGGUCGUGCUUUUUUGGUACGCACUGGCGUCAUUGGUUUCUCCUUUCUGACGAACCAUGAUGUCAUUAAUUUGGUGUUAUGGGGAGUUAGGACUGUUACUUUGAAAAAAUUAGAGUGUUUAAAGCAGGCAUUAGCUUGAAUACAUUAGCAUGGAAUAAUGAAAUAGGACGUUCGAUCCUAUUUUGUUGGUUUCUAGGAUCAACGUAAUGAUUAAUAGGGAUAGUUGGGGGCAUUAGUAUUCAAUUGUCAGAGGUGAAAUUCUUGGAUUUAUUGAAGACUAACUACUGCGAAAGCAUUUGCCAAGGAUGUUUUCAUUAAUCAAGAACGAAAGUUAGGGGAUCGAAGACGAUCAGAUACCGUCGUAGUCUUAACCAUAAACUAUGCCGACUAGGGAUCGGAUGAUGUUAAUUUUUUAAUGACUCAUUCGGCGCCUUACGGGAAAC
Molecule: ribosomal RNA, 551 nt
Filed under: uncultured Glomeromycotina
Lineage: Eukaryota; Fungi; Glomeromycota
Description: SSU rRNA
Rfam family: Eukaryotic small subunit ribosomal RNA
Source: RNAcentral